RNAcentral lists this unclassified non-coding RNA (378 nucleotides) under Hevea brasiliensis (rubber tree). Lineage: Eukaryota; Viridiplantae; Streptophyta; Magnoliopsida; Malpighiales; Euphorbiaceae. The record is from RNAcentral.
GCAACUUCAGCUUCUAGUUCUUGCAUCAUUGAAGCAUCCGAUUACUGAUUCUCUGGCAUAGGAAAGACGCCUUUUGAGGUUUGGUGAAUUGUUGAAUCAUCCAUUUAAGUCCUAUGGCGGAUGAGGAACCUGUUGAUCAAAAGAAGUAUCUUGAGGAUUCCUGCAAGCCUAAAUGUGUGAAGCCUCUGAUUGAAUAUGAGGCAUGUAUUAAGAGGAUUGAAGGUGAUGAACCUGGGCAAAAACACUGUACAGGGCAGUACUUUGACUACUUAUUUUGUAUUGAUAGAUGUGUUGCUCCGGNNNNNNNNNNNAACUGAAGUAACUGGAAGUCCCUUCGGACAUCUCUUUCUCAUUCUGUCAGUAUGCUUUACGAACAGC